CCCCAGCUGCGGGACCUGCUAUGAUUUCAUACAGAUCUGUAGACAGCCAUAGGUACCCGCGCGCAGUCCUCGCAGGCACACUGUCAAGGUCUGUCACGGCCUGUUUCCUGAUCUUAGAGCGCCCCCUGUGGAAAGGACGGUCCUACUGCCCUGGCUGCACACGCUUCCUGCCCACCUGGAGCACAUCUCAGCGCUUGUGAGCCUGAGACCACUGCACCAGUUCCUCUGUCUCCAUGCUGAGCUGCCUUCCGAUCCUUGGUCUGGCUUCUGGUUGGCCGCCCCAGAGCCAAUUCCGCUUUGAAUAUUAGGGAGGGCUCGGAAGAGGUGUCUGUGCGUGUCCUCCCAGAUAGCACCUUGGGGUGUCUGGAGAAGAGGGAGAGAAGCAAGCUCUGAUUCCAUAAUGCCAUGAUGAAGGAA
Molecule: long non-coding RNA, 417 nt
Organism: Myotis daubentonii (Daubenton's bat)
Lineage: Eukaryota; Metazoa; Chordata; Mammalia; Chiroptera; Vespertilionidae
Source: RefSeq, a predicted model, not a curated record